This 370-nucleotide long non-coding RNA is filed under the name Lepisosteus oculatus (spotted gar). RNAcentral's name for it is "lncRNA (ENSLOCG00000021766.1)". The record is from RNAcentral. Lineage: Eukaryota; Metazoa; Chordata; Actinopteri; Semionotiformes; Lepisosteidae.
UUGCUAACACGUUUUCUGUACUGUUUUUAUUAGGCUCAUCGCCUUUGCCCUUCCUGCUUUUAACCGCUACAGUCAAAGUUACAGUAAUUCCAAAGCACAUGUGGAGUGAUGGCAAGGAAAUGUGAGCCUACAGAGCCCGUCCCGACCUACUCUGCUGGACACCGGGGCAAAGGGAAAGGAGUGAUGGCACCACCCUCCGCUCCUCAGAGAGUGAUAGCAGCUGCGGUUUCAGCUUUACUGGACAGCUCAGAAUGGCCCCAGAGGACGCACGUGUGUGCAGCUGGAGGGACAGUGUGCUUCUUCAGCGCUCCUCCGGGCCGCCUGACAGCAGAGUGAUGCACAGAGAGGUGAAGAGGGAGAGAGCUUGUUG